AUCGCUUCUCGGCCUUUUGGCUAAGAUCAAGUGUAGUAUCUGUUCUUAUCAGUUUAAUAUCUGAUAUGUCCUCUAUUUGAGGACUAUAUAAAAAUGUCGCCUU
This is a non-coding RNA of Podarcis lilfordi (Lilford's wall lizard), 103 nucleotides long. The record is from the annotation of a GenBank genome assembly. NCBI's taxonomy places the organism in Eukaryota, Metazoa, Chordata, Lepidosauria, Squamata, Lacertidae.